Molecule: long non-coding RNA, 1907 nt
Filed under: Dromaius novaehollandiae (emu)
Lineage: Eukaryota; Metazoa; Chordata; Aves; Casuariiformes; Dromaiidae
Description: lncRNA (ENSDNVG00000008897.1)
Source: RNAcentral
GCGCUUCGUGCGAGAGCUGCGGCCGGACCCGCUCGCUGCGGUACAGGAGAAGCGGAGCCACGAAACGGAGCCACCCCCGGAGAGACGGGGGCUGAUUUCGGUGCACACGUGAUGCCGCUCCCAGUUUUUGGGAAACCUUCCCGAAGUUCUGAGGAUUUACUUUGGUGGAAAAAGAGAGCACUUCUGGCUCCAUUUCUCUCCCAGCACCCGAAGACUGUGCCCCCUGGCCCCCGCCUCGGGGGCUAAGCUGGCGUCCCCAAGAGGAGCUCAGCUUUGCUUUCCUUCUGUGGAACAAGCUUGAUUCUUACUUUUUAAAGAAGAAAAAUGAAAUUUGGGAAAUGCAAACGUGUAUCAGGCUCCUGGAAAGCAGCUGAGGCCCCUGGGCACCGCGAGCGCGCACGCCUGGCUGGUUUCCACUCCGUGGCAAUUUGGCGCGGCGGCGCGUUUGUCUGCAUUUUAUCUGCAUGAGCAGGUCGCCGCUGUCGCAGCACCUGCUGCGGGGGGACGCGGCAACGGCGCCGCGGGGAAACCCACCGCCCGCGCCCCGAGGGGGGCACGUGUGCGGGGAGCAGGCGCGGGGGACCGGGGCUCCGGCCCCACGGAGGCACCUAAGCAGAGCGSCUCGAGCGCGUCCGUCCGUCCGUCCGUCCGGGUGACCACGCCGCCAGCACGGAGCGGCGACGCUGCAGGAGCCGGGCCCCGCGGGCGCCUCUUCUGUAUGAGCCCAGGCGCUAAAACGCAGUGGGCCCGCGGAUGCUUUGUGAGCCCUUGCCUUUUUCCCUCCUUUUCCAUCAUUUCCGCAAGAACAAGCCUGACRCCUGAGAGGUACCUGCCUGACAGCUGUGUGUUCUCCUUCGUGAACCGUCUCCGUUUGGCGCACGGCAGCAGCCCCCACUCAGCCUCGUAAGACGUAACUCCGGGACACAGUACACGCUCUAGAAGACUYGAAAAAAAAAGGAAGAAAAGAAAAAAAAGAAACUUGCCAAUCCACCGAAGAAGCCUCCACCCCCACCUCCUUUCCAGACCACCCUCUCGGGCAAAAAGCCCCAGUGAAUAGACGGGCCCUGCAACAUGCCCCCGGGGUCAACAGACUUGCUCUUUCUGACAGACCAACAGGGGAAAAGAAUGACGUUAAGGACAUAUGAAAUGAAAACUGCAGCGCGCUACCCUCCACACGCAAAAAGUCAGCGUUAGGGCAAUUGCGGGGAGUCGGGCUUUAAUACAGGAUUUCUACUGAUACAGUUUUGUGCACAGCUUGUGGAAAAAAGCCCAGAAAAGAUAAACCAGAGCUAAAAAUCUCAGCAACGGUCUCGUCAGACACACCACGUAUCCACCCAGUCACAUCCCCUUGCUUUCGCUGCUCGCGAGCGCGUGGCCCCGCUGCUGCUCACGGCGAGGGCAAGUGUGGCUGGGCUGCUUGGUAAAGCGGUGCUUCAAGUGUUUCCUGUGCUUGAGUGUUAAUGUUUAAAGUCAAUCUCUGUAUCCUCUGCGUUAUGCGCAGUUUUGCACCCCAGCUAAGAGCUGCAUCCCCCUGUAACGUCGGCAACCAGCAGUUCAUUACGAUUUAGCCGAUCUGUUAGAAAACAUCUGCGACCCCGAGGGAUUUUCACACUUUUUUCCCCCUUUCAAGAGGAGGGAAACCCGCACGCUGCCUUGGCAGCACGGGGCAGUGCGACAUGGCGGGUUGCUCCCUGUGACGGCUUCUGGUUCGCCAUCGUCUGCCUUAAGCCGCGGGGCUUCGCGGGAGGCGCUUGUGUGGUCCCGGCCGCCGCGCGGGGCGAGGGCCGAGCCGCUCAGCCGGGGGCCGCAGCGGUGCCGCCGCCGUCCACGGCGUGAACUGCGUCCCCGCGGGGUCGAGCUGUUGCGCUGCAGCCCCUUUGCCCGGCGCGAUCCUGCUUUGCGGGGAC